GCCAUUACAUGUAGAGUUCGGGUUCAGCUGAUCUAGAUGAGCUUGUUAUUUGAUUUCAGGUCAGUAAGCAGUUUUUUCAGUAGAAAUUCACACAGUUAUCUGAUAUAGAUCUCUGUACAAGGAGUUGACAUGCAGUGCAGUUCUUCAGCGCAGGAUUUCGCUGGAGUUCAGCUGCAUUCGCUUCACAGGAGCCGAACCCUCCAGAGACACCGUACCGCACUGCUGACUGUUUAAUGAUGCACACAAAGAUAACAGUGCAGUGAUAGAGGAUAUACUUUAUGAUAAACACAAGGAGAUAAGUAUAAUAAUCACUUAUUCUGUAGUACCUUGGCUCAGAUACAGCAGUGUGGAGUGUGUAAUGUCUCUAGCCUAGUUAUGUCAGAGCGUGUGUGUAAUAAAUCGCACUAAAACACAGUGAACUCAUUUUUAGAAUGGUGUCGAGUUUGUGUUAGUGUGACCUUCUGCCAAAAUGACCUUGAUAUGAGAAUACCAUAUCAAAUGUGUGUGUGUGUGUGUGUGUGUGUGUGUGUGUGUGUGUGUGUGUGUGUGUGUGUGUGUUUACUUGGUUUCCAUAUACAGACAUCUCUGCUCAGAUAUAAAACAGAUGUCCUGGGAGAGGAAUAAAUACAAGAGGCUGUUUUAUUACAAGAACAUUACAGGAGUUGUACAAGGAUUUAUUUAAUAGAACUUUCACAGCAUCAGGAAAACAAAAAGCUCCUGAGUUUAAGACGUGUAUCAGGAAUGAAUUCACAACCUCUAAAGACAGAUGACUUUAUAAUUCUAGAGAAAUGAAAGUCAUCAGUACGAUGAAGGAGAACAUAUACAGUAGUAAAGAACAUAUAGUAAUGAACAAAAUAAAAGUUACAGAAAUACUUGAAUAAAGCGACUGAACACAGACUGUAGCAGCAAGUGGAACACGACACGAGUCCUGAUAAAGACGAUCAGUUUAGAGAUCAGGAGAGAGGAGAAGAUCUCUGCGUUUACACACAACAUUAAGAAGUUUCUAUCUUUUUUCUGACCUUUAGUGUAGUGCUCUCUCUCUCUCUCUCUCUCUCUCUCUCUCUCUCUCUCUCUCUCUCUCUCACACACACACACACACACUCUCUCUUUCUCUCUCACACUCUCUCUCACAUGCUCUCUCUCUCUUCCUUUCCCUCCCUCCCUCCCUCCCUCCCUCCCUUUACCCCCUCUCCUGUUUCCAGUUCUCCCUCUUCCCCUUCUCGAGCACAUACUGCACAUAACAAAAGGUCUGAGAUGGAAUAUGACUAGACAGAUUAGACUUCUUCAUUUAAAUCAUGUAAGAAUUUAGAAAGUUUCAUUUUUCUUGCCUAUAAAAAUGCAUUCUCACAUCCCCUGGACUCAACAAAAAACUUUUUCUGGACCCAUAGCUGACUACAACACGAGGAACAACACUGAACAUGAGGCCAACAUGAUGGUCAUUAGUGUCUUACACAAAUCUCUAAUCAUACACAAUAAGCAUACAUGACAAAAUACACAUCCACAUUUAUCAGGUAUAGUCUGAGUCUUAUUAAUAAUAAUAAUAAUAAUAAUAAUAAUAAUAAUAAUAAUAAUAAUUAGGCAACUAAAUAAAUGUAAGACAGCAGAAUAGUUUCUUUAUAGUUUCUUUUAAUUCUGUCUAGUGUACAUUUUGUUCAAUCCACUCACAUUAACUGAAUAAAAUCUGUGAUAAAUGUCUUGUUCAGAUUUAAUAUAUGCAGCACAGUUUAAUCAUAACGACAAAACCUUUACAAUCUACACGUAGCACUUAGAACAUUCACAUACACACUGAAAAUAUAAAGAUGAACACUCAGAGAUAUGCACGAUCAUCAAACCAUGCAUGAUAUAGUUCUUAAGGCUCCCUUUUAAUAAACUAUCGUCUCUACUGCAUCAUCCAUUCAUCUAUCCAUCCAUCCAUCCCUUCCUUCCUUCAUUCACUCUUCAGUCCUUUCAGGUGAGCAUAAGGUGUGUGAAUUCUGACUCAGUGACUUGACAUUCUCUUUUUGCAUUCAAAAAUAAGGUGAAUUUGAAGGAUAAUAAAAGGCUGCAGGAACCAGCGAUCGAUCUAUUUUGGUUAUUCUGUCACGUGGUGAGAGAAUCAUCUGUAAUGCUUUUAAAGAAUUCUAAGAAAAGUAUAAUGCAGUGUUUGAUAAAUACUACCUACAUCCAUCUGUAUUAAUAUCAGCUCAUACACGAGCAGUGAGGGACCACAGGGGCCACAGGGGCAACAGGGGCAACAGGGCAGCACCCUGAGGAAAAAUAAAUAAUCUGACCCUCAAGUUGACCUGAACCCGGGACACUGCUAGUGCCCUUAGAACAUUGAGUGAACAAAAUCUUAGUCUUAGAACAAAAUGACAGGUUUUAAUACACAAUUUUGUGCUGCUGCUGAUGAUGAUGAUGAUGAUGAUGAUGAUGAUGUCUGUGGGUCAAACACUCUUCCUCAGACACACCAGGAUGCUGCGACUAGUUCAUUACUGUGUAAGUUAUACAGAUGAUUCUCACGUCCACUGAUGGUUAUGAGGUGUGAAGAAGACCAGUUAAAUACAGACCUGUGUGUAACACCAAUCUGUCUGGAAGAGAAACCUGAACUUUAGGACUAAAUCCACUAAAAUAAAAGUUUGGUCACAUUUUAAGUUUUUGGUCUUUUUUUUUAAACAAGUAAAAGACAAACAGUAGAUUUACUGCAAUAGCAGAAAACUGGUACAGCAAAAUUCCUCAAGUGUUGAAAAUCACCGUUCAUUUAUUUAUUUAUUUGUUUUAAAUCUGUAUAUUGUUGCUCACCAAACUUCCUGCCAAGCCUCAGUGUCAUUCUUCCUCAACACAACACAGCUCUUACUGAAUAUUUACAACAUGCGAUGGAUUCAAAAACAUGCCACAAUUCAGUACUAAAGUAAGUAGUAAGAUCAGUUGUAGAUGUGGAGAUGAGAAUGUUUUACUGUUUUAUGUCCAAACUAAAGCGUGAUCUUUAAUAUUACAUAAUCAUACUCAGGACUCUAUAGCUGUUAAUAUAACCACAACAAUUACUGUGGAAUACCUUAAAUACACAUCUCUAGCAUUUCUUAUUAUAAGAUUAAAAUAAACUAAAUAAAGUUCAUUAGCAUGUUUUAGCUAUAAGUUUAUUGUAUUGUGGACUAUAGAGAUUAAUAAUGAUCGAUUGGUGUAUUUUAACUUUAUAACAGGAAAUACAAGAUAAGUCUCAGUAUAUUUAAGAUCAUUUCACUCGUUAACGUAACAUUUUUGCAGUGCACGGAUAUUUGCAUAAGAAAGAGCUACACAGUUGUUUAUGUUUUUCUACAUUAAUGAUGCUAAAAGUUUAGAAACUAAUUAAAAUCACUGGUGUCAGAUACGUCCAGAGCUCCAGUGUGGUUCAGUUACAAAUAUAAUGUAAUGAUAGAUCAGAUAUAAUCAAACAAUGUAAACAUAUAUGUAUCACACACACACACACACACACACACACACACACACACACACACACACA
Tachysurus fulvidraco (yellow catfish) is the source of this 3475-nucleotide long non-coding RNA. RefSeq lists it as uncharacterized. The record is from RefSeq and is a predicted model, not a curated record. NCBI's taxonomy places the organism in Eukaryota, Metazoa, Chordata, Actinopteri, Siluriformes, Bagridae. The transcript has 2 exons.